GACGAACGCUGGCGGCGUGCUUAACACAUGCAAGUCGAACGGAAAGGCCCUGCUUUUGUGGGGUGCUCGAGUGGCGAACGGGUGAGUAACACGUGAGUAACCUGCCCUUGACUUUGGGAUAACUUCAGGAAACUGGGGCUAAUACCGGAUAGGAGCUCCUGCUGCAUGGUGGGGGUUGGAAAGUUUCGGCGGUUGGGGAUGGACUCGCGGCUUUCAGCUUGUUGGUGGGGUAGUGGCUUACCAAGGCUUUGACGGGUAGCCGGCCUGAGAGGGUGACCGGCCACAUUGGGACUGAGAUACGGCCCAGACUCCUACGGGAGGCAGCAGUGGGGAAUAUUGCACAAUGGGCGGAAGCCUGAUGCAGCAACGCCGCGUGCGGGAUGACGGCCUUCGGGUUGUAAACCGCUUUCGCCUGUGACGAAGCGUGAGUGACGGUAAUGGGUAAAGAAGCACCGGCUAACUACGUG
RNAcentral lists this ribosomal RNA (467 nucleotides) under uncultured bacterium. Its description in RNAcentral is "partial 16S ribosomal RNA". It matches the Rfam family "Bacterial small subunit ribosomal RNA", at positions 28 to 507 of the family's 1533-position model. The record is from RNAcentral.